Oncorhynchus tshawytscha (Chinook salmon) is the source of this 346-nucleotide long non-coding RNA. NCBI's taxonomy places the organism in Eukaryota, Metazoa, Chordata, Actinopteri, Salmoniformes, Salmonidae. The record is from Ensembl.
CGCGCACCACGCUGUCCGGAAAAAAAAAGGUGCUGAAAUGUCGUCACUUCCGGGAGGCAUUCCUAGCCUGGGAAAAAAAAAGCGGGGCUGGGAGCUCUCUGUACAAACAACACGCCGGAGAGUGAUCAGCCAUGUCAUAAGACAACACUGAAAUCAGACUGAAUCUGUCAUCGGUUCAUAAAUUCAAUCUUUGUCAUUUUUUUCCCCCAGGACUGACCGACACGUAUAUCCACGAAGCCGUGCAUGAACUGGAAAACACUGACGUUUAGCCGAAUAGCUCAUUCAAGACAAAAGCUCCAGCAGGUGCAGCCCACAGCCAUAUGGCAUAGGCAGAUCAGGACCCGAC